This 102-nucleotide microRNA precursor is filed under the name Marmota monax (woodchuck). Lineage: Eukaryota; Metazoa; Chordata; Mammalia; Rodentia; Sciuridae. The record is from RNAcentral.
AUUAUGUUUGCUGGGUCAUAUGAGAAGGUCAUGUUUAGUUUUUUUAAAACUGCCAAACUGUCCUUUAAAGUGACUGUUCCAUUUUGCAUUCUCAUCAUCAAU